RNAcentral lists this ribosomal RNA (720 nucleotides) under uncultured bacterium. Its description in RNAcentral is "bacterial SSU rRNA". It matches the Rfam family "Bacterial small subunit ribosomal RNA", at positions 65 to 774 of the family's 1533-position model. The record is from RNAcentral.
AUCGGGGAGCGAAGCUUGCUUUGCUCCGCCGGCGACCGGCGCACGGGUGAGUAACGCGUAUGCAACCUGCCCGUUUCAGCGGGAUAACCCGGAGAAAUCCGGCCUAAUACCGCAUGUGGCCGAGGGAAGGCAUCUUCUUUCGGCCAAAGGAGGCGACUCCGGAGACGGAUGGGCAUGCGUGACAUUAGCUUGUUGGCGGGGUAACGGCCCACCAAGGCGACGAUGUCUAGGGGUUCUGAGAGGAAGGUCCCCCACACUGGUACUGAGACACGGACCAGACUCCUACGGGAGGCAGCAGUGAGGAAUAUUGGUCAAUGGGCGAGAGCCUGAACCAGCCAAGUCGCGUGAAGGAUGACGGCCCUACGGGUUGUAAACUUCUUUUGUCAGGGAGCAAUUGGGUCCACGCGUGGGCUUAGCGAGAGUACCUGAAGAAAAAGCAUCGGCUAACUCCGUGCCAGCAGCCGCGGUAAUACGGAGGAUGCGAGCGUUAUCCGGAUUUAUUGGGUUUAAAGGGUGCGUAGGCGGAAUAUCAAGUCAGCGGUAAAAAUUCGGGGCUCAACCCCGUCGUGCCGUUGAAACUGAUGUUCUUGAGUGGGCGAGAAGUAUGCGGAAUGCGUGGUGUAGCGGUGAAAUGCAUAGAUAUCACGCAGAACUCCGAUUGCGAAGGCAGCAUACCGGCGCCCAACUGACGCUGAAGCACGAAAGCGUGGGUAUCGAACA